GUGGGGAAUAUUGGACAAUGGGGGAAACCCUGAUCCAGCGACGCCGCGUGAACGAUGAAGUAUUUCGGUAUGUAAAGUUCUAUCAGCAGGGAAGAAAAUGACGGUACCUGACUAAGAAGCCCCGGCUAACUACGUGCCAGCAGCCGCGGUAAUACGUAGGGGGCAAGCGUUAUCCGGAUUUACUGGGUGUAAAGGGAGCGCAGGCGGUAGAUCAAGUCUGAUGUGAAAACCCAAGGCUUAACCAUGGGAAUGCAUUGGAAACUGGUUUACUUGAGUGUCGGAGAGGUAAGCGGAAUUCCUAGUGUAGCGGUGAAAUGCGUAGAUAUUAGGAGGAACACCAGUGGCGAAGGCGGCUUACUGGACGAUAACUGACGCUGAGGCUCGAAAGCGUGGGGAGCAAACAGG
This 405-nucleotide ribosomal RNA is filed under the name uncultured rumen bacterium. Its description in RNAcentral is "bacterial SSU rRNA". It matches the Rfam family "Bacterial small subunit ribosomal RNA", at positions 354 to 776 of the family's 1533-position model. The record is from RNAcentral.